Long non-coding RNA from Mustela lutreola (European mink), 1548 nucleotides. RefSeq lists it as uncharacterized. The record is from RefSeq and is a predicted model, not a curated record. The transcript is spliced from 3 exons. Lineage: Eukaryota; Metazoa; Chordata; Mammalia; Carnivora; Mustelidae.
UAAGAUUUUAUUUACUUGAGACACAGAGAGAGAGAGAGCAUGAGCGGAGAGAGGGAGAAGCAGACUUCCCACUGAGCAGGGAUCCUGAAGUGGGACUCCAUCCCAGGACUCCGGGAUCAUGACCCACCCUGAAGGCAGAUGCCCAACCAGCUGAGCCACCCGGGGGCCUGGAUUCAAAAAUAUAAAUGAUAAGCUGCUCUUGGGUACAAAUUAUUCCCUUGUGAGCUUGCGGAGUGUGACCCACUUAUCUCUAGGGCUGAUCGCCAGUUAAAUCCUGCCCAAGUGGCUGAAAGCCUGUUUGUUUUACGACAAACAGGAAAAGGGGCCCUCAAUGAAGUUCGGGCCCAGGGCCGAGUCUGAAGCCGACACUCUACUAUGUUUCUUCAGGGAAUCCUGGAGCUGAGACUGUUUGAGAUGCCUCUCUUUCCCACGUUUGGACCAGAAUAGUAUUGGAAGAGACACCCAGGCCUCCGCUGUUUCCAAACCCUUGCAGUAUCAGUGAUUUCAAGGAAUCCUCACCUCCUUCUGGAGAGAUGAGUGGAAACCAAGGCAAGAGAGGGGACCACCCUAAGGCAACACCUCUGUUGGCCACUGAGCUAGGACUCCGGGCCUCUUGUUCUUUCAACUCUUGGUGACUGGAAAUCUUUCAUUGUCCAGGUUUCCCUCUCUGCUUUUGGAAAGCACAGCUAAGGGACCUAACGGAAUUCUUCGAAUGUUCAGGAUUACCUUUCAGAAUGAAAACAUUGGAGAGCAAAGUGGGUUUGCAGUCAACAGACCCUCCUUCCAGCCCAUGCGGCCUCCCAGCACCUCCCUGGGCCUGGGGGUUGCAAAGGCAGCCCGGGGUGGGGGGCGACUUCCAGCUGACUCCCUGCAAGUGGGUGACGGCUGAAAAGGUCAGAAGGGCACUGCUCCGGCUUGAUAGUUCAGUGUCAGCUCUGCUGCGGGAUAUCUGAGAACACUUUGAGCAAGUCAAGGUGCACCUCUGUUUCCUAAUGUAUAAGAAAAGAGAUUAUGUCUCAGCUGCCUUGCUGAUAACCCAAAAGGGACUUGCUUAAGGACACCAGUGACAUGUUAUAGGCACUUAAAAAAAAAAAAAGAACACUUUUUUAUUAUGAAAAACUUCAAACCACAUUUAAUGUCAACCAAAUGAUAUAAUGAACCCCCACGGAUGCUUAGUCUGUCAUUAACUGUUCUGUCUCUUUUUUCAUCUUUACCUCCAGCCCCUCCCACUUGGUUACUUUGUAUAGUUCUUUUCCUGGGUGAAAUUUACAAACACAGACAUGCAGAAGGCUUAACUGUGUAACAUCGAAAAAUAGAUUUGCCCAUGUAAACUGUAUCUCUAUUCCAAUAUAGAAUAUUUGCCCCUUUCUGGAAAGUUCUCUCCUGUCCAGCAUGGGCAAAUAAAUAACUGAACUUACGAAACAAACACGGAUGUGAGUUUAGCACUCUGAGGGGUAGCACCUGCUGUCUUCGGGCUGGCUAGGUCAGAGUCGGAUCUGCUGUCUUAAGCUCUUCUUCCCCUCCCUGCUUCUGUGCACUCUUGCCAUC